GAUGAACGCUGGCGGCGUGCCUAAUACAUGCAAGUCGAGCGAACGGACGAGAAGCUUGCUUCUCUGAUGUUAGCGGCGGACGGGUGAGUAACACGUGGAUAACCUACCUAUAAGACUGGGAUAACUUCGGGAAACCGGAGCUAAUACCGGAUAAUAUUUUGAACCGCAUGGUUCAAAAGUGAAAGACGGUCUUGCUGUCACUUAUAGAUGGAUCCGCGCUGCAUUAGCUAGUUGGUAAGGUAACGGCUUACCAAGGCAACGAUGCAUAGCCGACCUGAGAGGGUGAUCGGCCACACUGGAACUGAGACACGGUCCAGACUCCUACGGGAGGCAGCAGUAGGGAAUCUUCCGCAAUGGGCGAAAGCCUGACGGAGCAACGCCGCGUGAGUGAUGAAGGUCUUCGGAUCGUAAAACUCUGUUAUUAGGGAAGAACAUAUGUGUAAGUAACUGUGCACAUCUUGACGGUACCUAAUCAGAAAGCCACGGCUAACUACGUGCCAGCAGCCGCGGUAAUACUUAGGUGGCAAGCGUUAUCCGGAAUUAUUGGGCGUAAAGCGCGCGUAGGCGGUUUUUUAAGUCUGAUGUGAAAGCCCACGGCUCAACCGUGGAGGGUCAUUGGAAACUGGAAAACUUGAGUGCAGAAGAGGAAAGUGGAAUUCCAUGUGUAGCGGUGAAAUGCGCAGAGAUAUGGAGGAACACCAGUGGCGAAGGCGACUUUCUGGUCUGUAACUGACGCUGAUGUGCGAAAGCGUGGGGAUCAAACAGGAUUAGAUACCCUGGUAGUCCACGCCGUAAACGAUGAGUGCUAAGUGUUAGGGGGUUUCCGCCCCUUAGUGCUGCAGCUAACGCAUUAAGCACUCCGCCUGGGGAGUACGACCGCAAGGUUGAAACUCAAAGGAAUUGACGGGGACCCGCACAAGCGGUGGAGCAUGUGGUUUAAUUCGAAGCAACGCGAAGAACCUUACCAAAUCUUGACAUCCUUUGACAACUCUAGAGAUAGAGCUUUCCCCUUCGGGGGACAAAGUGACAGGUGGUGCAUGGUUGUCGUCAGCUCGUGUCGUGAGAUGUUGGGUUAAGUCCCGCAACGAGCGCAACCCUUAAGCUUAGUUGCCAUCAUUAAGUUGGGCACUCUAAGUUGACUGCCGGUGACAAACCGGAGGAAGGUGGGGAUGACGUCAAAUCAUCAUGCCCCUUAUGAUUUGGGCUACACACGUGCUACAAUGGACAAUACAAAGGGCAGCGAAACCGUGAGGUCAAGCAAAUCCCAUAAAGUUGUUCUCAGUUCGGAUUGUAGUCUGCAACUCGACUACAUGAAGCUGGAAUCGCUAGUAAUCGUAGAUCAGCAUGCUACGGUGAAUACGUUCCCGGGUCU
This 1372-nucleotide ribosomal RNA is filed under the name uncultured bacterium. RNAcentral describes it as "bacterial SSU rRNA". It matches the Rfam family "Bacterial small subunit ribosomal RNA", at positions 28 to 1381 of the family's 1533-position model. The record is from RNAcentral.